This 473-nucleotide ribosomal RNA is filed under the name uncultured bacterium. Its description in RNAcentral is "bacterial SSU rRNA". It matches the Rfam family "Bacterial small subunit ribosomal RNA", at positions 28 to 507 of the family's 1533-position model. The record is from RNAcentral.
GACGAACGCUGGCGGCGUGCUUAACACAUGCAAGUCGAACGGAGUUUAAAUCAGUAGUUUACUACAGAUUUAAACUUAGUGGCGGACGGGUGAGUAACACGUGGGCAACCUGCCCUAAAGAGGGGGAUAACACCGAGAAAUCGGUGCUAAUACCGCAUAAAAUUAGAGCUUCGCAUGGAGCUUUAAUCAAAGGAGUAAUCCGCUUUAGGAUGGGCCCGCGUCUGAUUAGCUAGUUGGUGAGGUAGAGGCUCACCAAGGCGACGAUCAGUAGCCGAUCUGAGAGGAUGACCGGCCACACUGGAACUGAGACACGGUCCAGACUCCUACGGGAGGCAGCAGUGGGGAAUAUUGCACAAUGGGGGAACCCUGAUGCAGCAACGCCGCGUGGAGGAAGAAGGUUUUCGGAUUGUAAACUCCUGUCUUUUGGGACGAUAAUGACGGUACCAAAAGAGGAAGCCACGGCUAACUACGUG